Ictidomys tridecemlineatus (thirteen-lined ground squirrel) is the source of this 722-nucleotide non-coding RNA. NCBI's taxonomy places the organism in Eukaryota, Metazoa, Chordata, Mammalia, Rodentia, Sciuridae. The record is from RefSeq and is a predicted model, not a curated record.
UGUGAUGCGACAUUCUCGGGGAUUUUGUUUUGGAAUCAAAAAGGAUGCCCUCCUGAGUGAAUCCUGGCUGGCAGUGGGUGGAUGUAGCCUCUGGCCCCACCUGUGACCACCAGCGGUCCAGCACAGAAGAUAAUGCAACUUUGGAAGCCACACAACGGAGCUACAAGAUGGAAGGAGGCUGGGCCUUCAAUCACUCUUUGGAGAAGAGCUACCCCACUCUUUAGGUGUGCCAUGGAGAAUUAGUGUAACCCCCUGUUUUCUGCUCCGUGACCCAGGGCUGGGACUCAGGCAACCUUUCUCCAUUGUCAUCUGGUUUCCUGUUUCUACAGGUUUGGUGUCUUCGUCCUCUGCCAAAUCUGUUGUGUGUCUAUUCCAUCUAUUAAGAACUUCUACAUGAAGAUUCAGAAGAAAAAUAACCUUAUAACCUCUAUAAAACAAAACCAAGGAGCAUGAGAACAACACUGGAUUAAGUGUCAGGAGACUGAGGUUCACGUUUGGACCAUGGAGAAAUACCUAUGGCUCUCGAGCACCUAAUUUAAUUCAGUAUCACUUUGGCAUUCACAAAUUAUUGUUUUUGAACAAUUUUAAAGGUCCCUGGUAUGAUGGUUUGUAAUUUUUAUUGAGGUAUGAACUUGAGUUGCCUUGAGUCUAGAACAUGCGUUCUUUUUAACUAAUUAAGUAAUUUUUAAUUGGUGCAUUAUAAAUUACACAUAAUGCUGGAA